GUGAGUAGAGUGGCGCACGGGUGAGUAACACGUAGGUAAUCUACCCUCUGGCGGGGGACAACAUCUCGAAAGGGAUGCUAAUACCGCAUAAGACCACGACCUCCUCGGAGGAUGUGGGAAAAGGUGGCCUCUUCUUGAAAGCUAUCACCUGAGGAUGAGCCUGCGUCCCAUCAGCUAGUUGGUAAGGUAACGGCUUACCAAGGCGAAGACGGGUAGCUGGUCUGAGAGGAUGAUCAGCCACACUGGCACUGGAACACGGGCCAGACUCCUACGGGAGGCAGCAGUGAGGAAUAUUGGGCAAUGGGCGCAAGCCUGACCCAGCCACGCCGCGUGAGUGAUGAAGGCCCUAGGGUCGUAAAGCUCUGUGGAGAGGGACGAAAACGCUAGUACCUAAUACGGCUAGUCUUGACGGUACCUCUUUAGCAAGCACCGGCUAACUCUGUGCCAGCAGCCGCGGUAAUACAGAGGGUGCAAACGUUGCUCGGAUUUACUGGGCGUAAAGCGCGUGUAGGCGGGUUCGCAAGUCGGUUGUGAAAUCCCUGGGCUCAACCCAGGAACUGCAUCCGAAACUGCGUGCCUAGAGUAGUGGAGAGGAAGGUGGAAUUCCCGGUGUAGAGGUGAAAUUCGUAGAUAUCGGGAGGAACACCAGUGGCGAAGGCGGCUUUCUGGACACUUACUGACGCUGAGACGCGAAAGCGUGGGGAGCAAACAGGAUUAGGUACCCUGGUAGUCCACGCCGUAAACGAUGUGUGCUAGAUGUCGCGGGAUUUGACUUCUGCGGUGUCGUAGCUAACGCGUUAAGCACACCGCCUGGGGAGUACGGCC
This 825-nucleotide ribosomal RNA is filed under the name uncultured bacterium. Its description in RNAcentral is "bacterial SSU rRNA". It matches the Rfam family "Bacterial small subunit ribosomal RNA", at positions 86 to 887 of the family's 1533-position model. The record is from RNAcentral.